CCUGCUUGCAGUAGCAUCAGGGUUUCUCGGAGCAGGAUUCAGCAUGGAAGGUGAGCGCCGGGGAGCUGUACCAUGCCCUUUACCCACCAGCAGCUGCCUUAAGAUCUGGUCCUGGUCUGCUCUGGUCUUACUGAACUUUGAAAGAACCAACCCAAAUCCUGCUGAGUUUAUGUAGGUGUUUCAGCCUCUCUACCGCCCGGCAGCUCUGAGAAGACGGACUGCAGGAAAGUUCAAAGUUCAGCACUGGCAGAUCUAAAAACAGAUUUGUGGGGUAGCUCUUCAGCACUGUGCUUUCUGUACCGAGGUAAACCGAUACUGUUCCAAUUAAAUAGCAACGCCGCACAAAGGAGGUCAGGCAUUGUGUGUGGCUCCGUGCUGGCAUCCCACCCAGGCACCUCCACCACCGCUCCUUCUCGGAGGCCAAGAGCUUCUUCGGGAGUCACAGGGGGGUUGUAAAACACACAGAGGAGAACAGAGCCACCAUAACAAACAAACAAAUGUGUACAACAAUAGACACCUUACAACACACAAACAGUGCAAAACAUUGUAAUAGAGGAAUUGGAUUUCAUGAGGUUUAGGACACGGAGUAGCAGCACACCUGUGAUAACUUAGAAAUGAAUUAAAUAAACCAGAAAGCAGAAGUCUUCUACUGUUGCACCACAAAAUGAAAUACCUUGGCUUGGAGGUUUGUUUUGUUUUCAGAAAUUAAAAAAAAAAAUCGGAACUAUAAAUAAAUUUUGUGGCAAUAUAUACAGAUUUAAAUAAUUAACUUAAAUAUCUUACACCUACUCUUGCAUAAAACUCUCCAGUAAAAGUGCACCACGUUUCUUUUCCCCAAAU
This is a long non-coding RNA of Falco peregrinus (peregrine falcon), 840 nucleotides long. RefSeq lists it as uncharacterized. The transcript has 3 exons. NCBI's taxonomy places the organism in Eukaryota, Metazoa, Chordata, Aves, Falconiformes, Falconidae. The record is from RefSeq and is a predicted model, not a curated record.